Molecule: ribosomal RNA, 253 nt
Filed under: uncultured bacterium
Lineage: Bacteria
Description: partial 16S ribosomal RNA
Rfam family: Bacterial small subunit ribosomal RNA
Source: RNAcentral
GACGAACCGUGCGAACGUUGUUCGGAAUCACUGGGCAUAAAGGGCGCGUAGGCGGCCUGUCAAGUCAGGGGUGAAAUCCGGCAGCUCAACUGUCGAAGUGCCUUUGAUACUGACGGGCUCGAGGGAGGUAGGGGCGUGCGGAACUUCCGGUGGAGCGGUGAAAUGCGUUGAUAUCGGAAGGAACGCCGGUGGCGAAGGCGAGGCGCUGGACCCUUUCUGACGCUGAGGCGCGAAAGCCAGGGGAGCAAACGGG